AACGAACGCUGGCGGCAUGCCUAACACAUGCAAGUCGAACGAGACCUUCGGGUCUAGUGGCGCACGGGUGCGUAACGCGUGGGAACCUGCCCUUAGGUUCGGAAUAACUCCCCGAAAGGGGUGCUAAUACCGGAUAAUGUCUUCGGACCAAAGAUUUAUCGCCUUUGGAUGGGCCCGCGUUGGAUUAGCUAGUUGGUAGGGUAAAAGCCUACCAAGGCGACGAUCCAUAGCUGGUCUGAGAGGAUGAUCAGCCACACUGGGACUGGGACACGGCCCAGACGCCUGCGGGGGGCGGGGGUGGGGAAUAUGGGAAAGGGGGCAAAAGCCUGACCCAGCAAGGCCGGGUGGGGGAUGAAGGCCUUGGGGUUGUAAAGCUCUUUUACCGGGGAGGGAAAGACCGUAACGGGUAAAAAAGCCCCGGCUAAAUCCCGG
This 432-nucleotide ribosomal RNA is filed under the name uncultured bacterium. RNAcentral's name for it is "partial 16S ribosomal RNA". It matches the Rfam family "Bacterial small subunit ribosomal RNA", at positions 29 to 507 of the family's 1533-position model. The record is from RNAcentral.